This 1084-nucleotide ribosomal RNA is filed under the name Microbacterium oxydans. RNAcentral describes it as "bacterial SSU rRNA". It matches the Rfam family "Bacterial small subunit ribosomal RNA", at positions 346 to 1440 of the family's 1533-position model. The record is from RNAcentral. Lineage: Bacteria; Bacillati; Actinomycetota; Actinomycetes; Micrococcales; Microbacteriaceae.
AGGCAGCAGUGGGGAAUAUUGCACAAUGGGCGCAAGCCUGAUGCAGCAACGCCGCGUGAGGGAUGACGGCCUUCGGGUUGUAAACCUCUUUUAGCAGGGAAGAAGCGAAAGUGACGGUACCUGCAGAAAAAGCGCCGGCUAACUACGUGCCAGCAGCCGCGGUAAUACGUAGGGCGCAAGCGUUAUCCGGAAUUAUUGGGCGUAAAGAGCUCGUAGGCGGUUUGUCGCGUCUGCUGUGAAAUCCGGAGGCUCAACCUCCGGCCUGCAGUGGGUACGGGCAGACUAGAGUGCGGUAGGGGAGAUUGGAAUUCCUGGUGUAGCGGUGGAAUGCGCAGAUAUCAGGAGGAACACCGAUGGCGAAGGCAGAUCUCUGGGCCGUAACUGACGCUGAGGAGCGAAAGGGUGGGGAGCAAACAGGCUUAGAUACCCUGGUAGUCCACCCCGUAAACGUUGGGAACUAGUUGUGGGGUCCAUUCCACGGAUUCCGUGACGCAGCUAACGCAUUAAGUUCCCCGCCUGGGGAGUACGGCCGCAAGGCUAAAACUCAAAGGAAUUGACGGGGACCCGCACAAGCGGCGGAGCAUGCGGAUUAAUUCGAUGCAACGCGAAGAACCUUACCAAGGCUUGACAUAUACGAGAACGGGCCAGAAAUGGUCAACUCUUUGGACACUCGUAAACAGGUGGUGCAUGGUUGUCGUCAGCUCGUGUCGUGAGAUGUUGGGUUAAGUCCCGCAACGAGCGCAACCCUCGUUCUAUGUUGCCAGCACGUAAUGGUGGGAACUCAUGGGAUACUGCCGGGGUCAACUCGGAGGAAGGUGGGGAUGACGUCAAAUCAUCAUGCCCCUUAUGUCUUGGGCUUCACGCAUGCUACAAUGGCCGGUACAAAGGGCUGCAAUACCGCGAGGUGGAGCGAAUCCCAAAAAGCCGGUCCCAGUUCGGAUUGAGGUCUGCAACUCGACCUCAUGAAGUCGGAGUCGCUAGUAAUCGCAGAUCAGCAACGCUGCGGUGAAUACGUUCCCGGGUCUUGUACACACCGCCCGUCAAGUCAUGAAAGUCGGUAACACCUGAAGCCGGUGGCCUAACC